Molecule: ribosomal RNA, 580 nt
Filed under: uncultured delta proteobacterium
Lineage: Bacteria; Deltaproteobacteria
Description: bacterial SSU rRNA
Rfam family: Bacterial small subunit ribosomal RNA
Source: RNAcentral
AGGCAGCAGUGAGGAAUAUUGCGCAAUGGGGGAAACCCUGACGCAGCGACGCCGCGUGAGUGAGGAAGGCCUUCGGGUCGUAAAGCUCUGUCAGAUGGGAAGAAGUGUAUUGCGGUUAAUACCCGUAGUAUUUGACGGUACCAUCAGAGGAAGCACCGGCUAACUCCGUGCCAGCAGCCGCGGUAAUACGGAGGGUGCGAGCGUUGUUCGGAAUCACUGGGCGUAAAGGGCGCGCAGGCGGUUUGUUUAGUCAGAUGUGAAAGCCCACGGCUUAACCGUGGAAGUGCAUUUGAAACUGGCAGACUUGAGUACCAGAGGGGAAGGUGGAAUUCCCGGUGUAGAGGUGAAAUUCGUAGAUAUCGGGAGGAAUACCGGUGGCGAAGGCGACUUUCUGGCUGGAUACUGACGCUGAGGCGCGAAAGCGUGGGGAGCAAACAGGAUUAGAUACCCUGGUAGUCCACGCCGUAAACGAUGUGAACUAGAUGUUGGAGGUGUUGAUCCCUUCGGUGUCGGAGCUAACGCAUUAAGUUCACCGCCUGGGGAGUACGGUCGCAAGAUUAAAACUCAAAUGAAUUGACGG